GGCAUAGCAAACAAUAUGCUGCAGACAUGUUUAUUUCUAAAAAUACAAAUAAAACGUCCAAAAUAAAAUAGUAGUUGCAUGCAUAUUUCAUUGUCUUCCGCUACGUCUUCAUUCGUAAACAAUGAAGAAAAAGAAGAAGACAAUGAAAAAAAUCGUGCGCUACACAACCUCUUUCGUCAACGUUUGGCAAACGACUGACAAGCUGGUAUUCCUCGAAUGAGGAGCACCGUGGCGACAACGUCACCUAUUAGUAAUUUCACCAUGUCCCCUAGAGCCACACACUGCACGAAGCAGAGUGUGAAAUGAGAGAAUGUGAAACAACAAAAAAAAACUGCUGGAUGGGGUGUGAGUAGCCACUGCAAAUUAAUUUCUUCAUUCUGGCUUUAACAUUGAUUCACUUCGGUGAUCUGAUAGAUAUGGUUCUUUCCUACAGAAUGGCAUUUUAGUUUUCUUUUAUCUUUAAAAUUGUGGAUACAGCAGAUUUUCGCCUUUGCGGGGCGGAGGGGGCGUGACGAAAUACACUUGCAGCAGUGUGAGCAUACAGCCAUCUAAAUGCGACAUUUGGUGGCUCAGACAGACCUACAUGGCUAUAUAGACUCGGCUAUUGAUGCUGAUCAAGAAUAUAUAUACUUUAUGGGGUUGGAGACGCUUCCUUCUGUGUGUUACAUACAUCCACCUUUGUGCACAAAUACAAUAUACCCUAUUUACCCUUCGAGUACUGGGUAUAAAAAGGACGGAGAGCACGGAAGCAGUCCAGGCUUCCAUUUAAUGCAGCGGAUACAUGAUCGGACUGUCUGACUGCAUACCUCCUGCUCGUGAGAAUGCAGGUGAUGGACAUACAUAUAUAGCAUACAAAGCUACGCACGUAUUACGAGCGCUUUGUCAAAAGCAACGGAAACUUGGCAUCGUAUGAUAUAGGAGCUCAAGUUUUAGCUUUACACCAGUGUCUUAAUGGGUGAAUGGGUUCAACCUCUGAAGACUAGGACCAACUCUAGAUCCUCUUACAUGUUCUUUUCAAAUGUAAUACUUGGUCUCUUACAUGUUCUUAUAAAUCGGAACAUAUAACACAACACUUUAAUAGCCUUUUCACACUGGGCACCAUCAACCAUCCAUUUCUGGGAUGGUCCGAAAAUGUUCCAGUUAUUACAGUUCCUAAUUUGCACGCGAUAUUUAUUCGGCUAUUUUCAAAUACAACCAUAAAUAUUUGGCAUUCACAACGAAAAAAUUAUAUUCAUUGGGAAAUUGUAACAAUGACUGACAGAAGAAGAGGAAAACCAACAACAAAACACUUGUGAAGUAGAGCAGAGUGUAGCUGGAGCUUUCAAAAAAAAAAAAUAUAAAACGAGAAGUGACGUGUGAGACGCACAACGUCACAACUUUUAUACAGGCAGGGGGAGGGCAGAGGCAGGGGCCGAGUGAGGCAGAAGCCGAGUGUGAAUGAGAGAAUGUAAAAAGAACAACAAAAGCUGCGGGACAGGGUGGGUUUAGCCACUGGAUAUUAAUUUCUCCAUUGUUGCUAUAAUAAUGAUCCGAUCGGAUAACAAUUUGGUGAUCUGAUAGAUAUGUACUGUAGGUUUGGGAGGUUUUUGCCCUUUUGCGGAGGCGGAAGGGGGCGGGGCUAAUUUUUGAAAUACACUGGUUUCAGUGUGAGCAUACAGCAGUCCGGAGCCAACAUUUGGUGGCUCUAUCUCUUAUAGUUUUUGAGAACUAACCGACAAACAAGACGGACGGACGGACGGACGGACAGACGGACAGACAGGCAUGGCUCUAUCGACUCGGCUAUUGAUACUAGUCGGAAACGUUUCCUUCUGUGCGUUACAUACAACCGUUAUUCACACAAUUACAAUAUACCCUAUUUAUUCUUCGAGUACCGGGUAUAAAAAAUGGAACAAGGAUCGGCAAAUAGCGGUUGUAAGCAUAUAUUACAUUUUUUGUUGUUUCAAAAUAACAUUAAAUUUAUCAAUAUUGCAGAAAAGAAGAGAACAACAGGUGGCAGGGGGAAAUAGUCAUCGGAGAUGGAGAGCCUGCUGAUAGAUCUCUGGCAGGAGAAUAUUGAAGAUCUGCGUGGAGCCAUGAAGGAGGCUGGGCUCGCGAUUGGAUGGGGAGAUGUUCGAGUGAAAGUCGAAAAUUUGCAAACAAUACGGUGGAGUACCAGCCUUUAUAAUUGUGAUGGUAGACUGCCUCAGCUCCUGGUGGUUUUUUUUCGAUUUGACAUCCAUCUACAAUAAAGGGAAAACCAAUUUACAUAUUUAUGUGCAUAUCUAUAGAUGUAUAAUGAAUUGUUCUAUUGCUUUCUUACCAAUUGCACCUAGACACUGUGGAAAUCCAAUCUCUUCGAAUCCUUGGACAUUCGUCAAGUCGCUUCACAUCUUUCAAAAAAAUCCAAAGUUCCCCUUGGAGGGGCUCAGUGUGAAGAGCCUAUUCUGAAUUAAAUUCAAGUUGUUUCAGUUAUAAUAGUCUUU
Molecule: long non-coding RNA, 2462 nt
Filed under: Drosophila guanche
Lineage: Eukaryota; Metazoa; Arthropoda; Insecta; Diptera; Drosophilidae
Source: RNAcentral